Molecule: long non-coding RNA, 599 nt
Organism: Carassius auratus (goldfish)
Lineage: Eukaryota; Metazoa; Chordata; Actinopteri; Cypriniformes; Cyprinidae
Exons: 4
Source: RefSeq, a predicted model, not a curated record
GGUAUCAAGACAGUAAAGGUGGAUGAGCACUCCAGCUGUCGCUAUGAUGGUCCGCCUGAGAGAUGCCCACUGGAGCUGAGAAAGAUGGAGUGGGGUGAGCAACACACCAGCUGUCGCCGUCAUGGUCUGGCUGAGACAUACGCAGUGGAGCUGAGAAAAGUGGAGUAGCUAGCCAAAUACAACUAAUUAUUUACCUUGGAAGCUGGGGAGACUCUCACACCAGGUCUGUUGUUGGUCUUCCGUGUCCCUUUGUUCCUGAUUGACACAUGCUGUUGACAGUUGGGGGAUCAUUAGUGGCAUUCCAUAUGUCAUUCACCUUUAAUCUUACUUCAUACUGGGUCAUUUUGUGUCAGAUCAUCCACAAUUCAGAAACUUUCCUGAAUCAAAUUUGAUAUUUUAAAUUUUUUUUUUUUCUUAAACCAAAAUAUUGAAUGUCACAAGAUUGUUGAAGUCAACAGACUUUACUAAUAUAGCUACCAAUCUUUAUGUAAAAAAUAAAAUAACAAUGCUGCCAUCUUUCUAAUUCCAUUGUUAUUUGGUUGUUAAAUCUUCAUGUUGACCCCCCCCCCCACUCUCUUUUAUUUAUGGCAUUCAUUUUU